This 225-nucleotide long non-coding RNA is filed under the name Gossypium raimondii (Peruvian cotton). RNAcentral's name for it is "long non-coding RNA (GRAI_LNC006782)". Lineage: Eukaryota; Viridiplantae; Streptophyta; Magnoliopsida; Malvales; Malvaceae. The record is from RNAcentral.
GCUUAAUUAAUUGUUAAAAGCUAGCCCCAAUCUGAAACCCUAAAAUCAUCAACCAUAUUAUUUAUCUGUAACCAUCAAACCCCAAACUAUAAACCACUAUACUGUAAGCCUUAAUUAAUUGUAAAUCCUAAACCCCAAACUAUAAACCAUUAACCCUAAACCUCAAACCCAAACCGUAAAACUUAAACCCUAAACCCGUCAAUUAACCAUUAAACAUCAAACCAC